RNAcentral lists this ribosomal RNA (498 nucleotides) under uncultured bacterium. RNAcentral describes it as "partial 16S ribosomal RNA". It matches the Rfam family "Bacterial small subunit ribosomal RNA", at positions 29 to 507 of the family's 1533-position model. The record is from RNAcentral.
ACGAACGCUGGCGGCGUGCUUAACACAUGCAAGUCGAACGGGCCCGCCCCUGUUUUUGGGGGUGGGUUGAGUGGCGAACGGGUGAGUAUCACGUGAGUAACCUGCCCCCUGCUCCUGGAUAACUGCUUGAAAGGGCGGCUAAUACGGGGUGUGCCGGCUGGUCCGCAUGGGCCUGGUCGGGAUAGUUUCAUCUUCGGGUGUUUCGGUGGGGGAUGGGCUCGCGGCCUAUCAGCUUGUUGGUGGGGUGAUGGCCCACCAAGGCGGUGACGGGUAGCCGGCCUGAGAGGGUGGGCGGCCACACUGGGACUGAGACACGGCCCAGACUCCUGCGGGAGGCAGCAGUGGGGGGUAUUGCGCAAUGGGCGGAAGCCUGAUGCAGCGACGUCGCGUGAGGGAUGGAGGCCUUCGGGUUGUGAACCUCUUUCUCCGGUGGUGAAGGCCCUGUCCGUUGCGGCGGGGUUGACGGUAGCCGGGUAUGAAGCGCCGGCUAACUACGUG